This 169-nucleotide ribosomal RNA is filed under the name uncultured actinomycete GT22-2. Its description in RNAcentral is "partial 16S ribosomal RNA". It matches the Rfam family "Bacterial small subunit ribosomal RNA", at positions 338 to 524 of the family's 1533-position model. The record is from RNAcentral. Lineage: Bacteria; Bacillati; Actinomycetota; Actinomycetes; Actinomycetales.
CCUACGGGAGGCAGCAGUGGGGAAUCUUGCGCAAUGGGCGAAAGCCUGACGCAGCAACGCCGCGUGCGGGAAGAAGGCUCUCGGGUUGUAAACCGCUUUCAGAAGGAACGAAACUGACGGUACUUUCAGAAGAAGCCCCGGCUAACUUCGUGCCAGCAGCCGCGGUAAU